RNAcentral lists this ribosomal RNA (1521 nucleotides) under Clostridioides difficile. RNAcentral describes it as "partial 23S ribosomal RNA". It matches the Rfam family "Bacterial large subunit ribosomal RNA", at positions 1 to 1533 of the family's 2925-position model. Lineage: Bacteria; Bacillati; Bacillota; Clostridia; Peptostreptococcales; Peptostreptococcaceae. The record is from RNAcentral.
GGUCAAGUUAUUAAGGGUGCAGGGCGGAUGCCUUGGCACUAGGAGCCGAUGAAGGACGUGAUAAGCUGCGAUAAGCUUCGGGGAGUUGCACGUAAACUUUGAUCCGAAGAUUUCCGAAUGAGGAAACUCACUUAGAGUAAUGUCUAAGUAUCAUUAAGUGAAUACAUAGCUUAAUGAGGGGAACUCAGGGAACUGAAACAUCUAAGUACCUGAAGGAAGAGAAAGAAAUUCGAUUCCGUAAGUAGCGGCGAGCGAACGCGGAUUAGCCCAAACCAAUAAAGAAAACUUUAUUGGGGUUGCGGACAUAUCAUAACGAAGAGGUAUCGUAAUUGAAGAGGUUUGGAAAGACCCACCACAGAAGGUAAUAGUCCUGUAUUUUAAACGAGAAGACUUCAGAUAUGAUCCAGAGUACCACGGGACACGUGAAACCCUGUGGGAAGCAGGAGGGACCACCCUCCAAGGCUAAAUACUACCUAGUGACCGAUAGCGUAUAGUACCGUGAGGGAAAGGUGAAAAGAACCCCGGGAGGGGAGUGAAAUAGAACCUGAAACCCUGCACUUACAAGCUGUGGAAGCACAUUUCUUGUGUGACCGCGUACUUUUUGUAGAACGGGCCAACGAGUUACGUUAAGUAGCAAGGUUAAGCACUUAAGGUGCGGAGCCGUAGCGAAAGCGAGUUUUAACUGAGCGUUCAGUUACUUGACGUAGACCCGAAACCGGGCGACCUACCCAUGAGCAGGAUGAAGCGAAAGUAAAAUUUCGUGGAGGUCCGAACCCACGAGCGUUGAAAAGCUCGGGGAUGACUUGUGGAUAGCGGUGAAAUUCCAAUCGAGCCCGGAGAUAGCUGGUUCUCCCCGAAAUAGCUUUAGGGCUAGCCUCAAGGUGAGAGAUACGGAGGUAGAGCACUGAAUGUCCUAGGGGGUAUUGCACCUACCGAAGACUAUCAAACUCCGAAUGCCGUCAUCUUAUACUUGGGAGUCAGACUGUGGGUGAUAAGAUUCAUAGUCGAAAGGGCAACAGCCCAGAUCGUCAGCUAAGGUCCCUAAAUGUAAGUUAAGUGGUAAAGGAUGUGGGAUUGCACAGACAACCAGGAUGUUGGCUUAGAAGCAGCCACUCAUUCAAAGAGUGCGUAAUAGCUCACUGGUCGAGUGAUCCUGCGCCGAAGAUUUCCGGGGCUAAAACUUACUACCGAAGCUACGGCAUCAGUAAUGAUGGGUAGGGGAGCUUCCCAUACGGGUUGAAGCGUGACCGUAAGGACAUGUGGACAGUAUGGGAGUGAGAAUGUUGGCAUGAGUAGCGAGAUGUGGGUGAGAAUCCCACAGGCCGUAAACCCAAGGUUUCCAGGGGAAGGUUCGUCCGCCCUGGGUUAGUCGGGACCUAAGCUGAGGCCGAAAGGCGUAGGUGAUGGACAACAGGUUGAUAUUCCUGUACUACCGAUAACCGUUUGAGAGAAGGGAUGACACAGUAGGAUAAGCUAAGCACACUGUUGGUUAUGUGUGCCCAAGCAUUGAGGCAGUCAAAG